This 252-nucleotide long non-coding RNA is filed under the name Zostera marina. Its description in RNAcentral is "long non-coding RNA (ZMAR_LNC003020)". Lineage: Eukaryota; Viridiplantae; Streptophyta; Magnoliopsida; Alismatales; Zosteraceae. The record is from RNAcentral.
UAUUAGCGAUGAUAAAUUUUAAAUCGUCGCUAAAUGUUAUAUCUAACGACGAUCAUCAACAUAUCAUCGUUAAUUAAACAAAAAAAAAGAUAAUCAUAUCGUCGCUAAUAUCGCGGGUUUUCUUCAAAAUCCUUCUUGUAAUUUAACGACGAUCCAAAAUCGUCGCUAAAAUCGUCGUUGUAGACCUCUUUUCUUGUAGUGAAAGGUAAUUAGGUUUAAGACUUUAAAUGUUUAAUAAUUUAUAAUAUAAAU